CUACGGGAGGCAGCAGUGGGGAAUAUUGGACAAUGGGGGCAACCCUGAUCCAGCCAUGCCGCGUGAGUGAUGAAGGCCUUAGGGUUGUAAAGCUCUUUCGCCCGCGAAGAUAAUGACUGUAGCGGGAGAAGAAGCCCCGGCUAACUUCGUGCCAGCAGCCGCGGUAAUACGAAGGGGGCUAGCGUUGUUCGGAAUCACUGGGCGUAAAGCGUACGUAGGCGGGCAAUUAAGUCAGGGGUGAAAGCCUUGAGCUCAACUCAAGAACUGCCUUUGAUACUGGUUGCCUGGAGUCCGGGAGAGGUGAGUGGAACUGCUAGUGUAGAGGUGAAAUUCGUAGAUAUUAGCAAGAACACCAGUGGCGAAGGCGGCUCACUGGCCCGAUACUGACGCUGAGGUGCGAAAGCGUGGGGAGCAAACAGGAUUAGAAACCCUUGUAGUCC
This 440-nucleotide ribosomal RNA is filed under the name uncultured bacterium. RNAcentral's name for it is "bacterial SSU rRNA". It matches the Rfam family "Bacterial small subunit ribosomal RNA", at positions 339 to 796 of the family's 1533-position model. The record is from RNAcentral.